UCCUGGAGGACGUCGCCCAGCGGAUGGGGAAUGGGAGCAGCCAGGGGGCCGCAGGGCUCCGGGAAGGACACCGGGUUGUCCCAUCCCACCUCCACCAGGAGCAGGAAAGACCUCGGGAUGUUCAUCCCCGGCGAGGGAAUGACCUGCUCCUCCAGCAGGUGAUGGAGAAGCUGCAGAGGCUCAACCAGAGC
This is a long non-coding RNA of Empidonax traillii (willow flycatcher), 191 nucleotides long. RefSeq lists it as uncharacterized. The record is from RefSeq and is a predicted model, not a curated record. The transcript is spliced from 3 exons. NCBI's taxonomy places the organism in Eukaryota, Metazoa, Chordata, Aves, Passeriformes, Tyrannidae.